GAUGAACGCUGGCGGCGUGCCUAAUACAUGCAAGUCGAGCGAACGGACGAGAAACUUGCUUCUCUGAUGUUAGCGGCGGACGGGGGAGUAAAACGUGGAUAACCUACCUAUAAGACUGGGAUAACUUCGGGAAACCGUAGCUAAUACCGGAUAAAAUUUUGAACCGCAUGGUUCAAAAGUGAAAGACGGUCUUGCUGUCACUUAUAGAUGGAUCCGCGCUGCAUUAGCUAGUUGGUAAGGUAACGGCUUACCAAGGCAACGAUGCAUAGCCGACCUGAGAGGGUGAUCGGCCACACUGGAACUGAGACACGGUCCAGACUCCUACGGGAGGCAGCAGUAGGGAAUCUUCCGCAAUGGGCGAAAGCCUGACGGAGCAACGCCGCGUGAGUGAUGAAGGUCUUCGGAUCGUAAAACUCUGUUAUUAGGGAAGAACAUAUGUGUAAGUAACUGUGCACAUCUUGACGGUACCUAAUCAGAAAGCCACGGCUAACUACGUG
RNAcentral lists this ribosomal RNA (497 nucleotides) under uncultured bacterium. Its description in RNAcentral is "partial 16S ribosomal RNA". It matches the Rfam family "Bacterial small subunit ribosomal RNA", at positions 28 to 507 of the family's 1533-position model. The record is from RNAcentral.